This 169-nucleotide ribosomal RNA is filed under the name uncultured bacterium. Its description in RNAcentral is "partial 16S rRNA". It matches the Rfam family "Bacterial small subunit ribosomal RNA", at positions 338 to 524 of the family's 1533-position model. The record is from RNAcentral.
CCUACGGGAGGCAGCAGUGGGGAAUUUUGCGCAAUGGGGGAAACCCUGACGCAGCAACGCCGCGUGGAGGAUGAAGUCCUUCGGGUCGUAAACCCCUUUCGACCGGGACGAUAAUGACGGUACCGGUGGAAGAAGCCCCGGCUAACUUCGUGCCAGCAGCCGCGGUAAU